This 812-nucleotide ribosomal RNA is filed under the name Microbacterium sp. T2-22. Its description in RNAcentral is "bacterial SSU rRNA". It matches the Rfam family "Bacterial small subunit ribosomal RNA", at positions 659 to 1470 of the family's 1533-position model. Lineage: Bacteria; Bacillati; Actinomycetota; Actinomycetes; Micrococcales; Microbacteriaceae. The record is from RNAcentral.
GAUUGAAUUCCUGGUGUAGCGGUGGAAUGCGCAGAUAUCAGGAGGAACACCGAUGGGAAGGCAGAUCUCUGGGCCGUAACUGACGCUGAGGAGCGAAAGGGUGGGGAGCAAACAGGUUAGAUACCCUGGUAGUCCACCCCGUAAACGUUGGAACUAGUUGUGGGUCCAUUCCACGGAUUCCGUGACGCAGCUAACGCAUUAAGUUCCCCGCCUGGGGAGUACGGCCGCAAGGCUAAAACUCAAAGGAAUUGACGGGGACCCGCACAAGCGGCGGAGCAUGCGGAUUAAUUCGAUGCAACGCGAAGAACCUUACCAAGGCUUGACAUAUACGAGAACGGGCCAGAAAUGGUCAACUCUUUGGACACUCGUAAACAGGUGGUGCAUGGUUGUCGUCAGCUCGUGUCGUGAGAUGUUGGGUUAAGUCCCGCAACGAGCGCAACCCUCGUUCUAUGUUGCCAGCACGUAAUGGUGGGAACUCAUGGGAUACUGCCGGGGUCAACUCGGAGGAAGGUGGGGAUGACGUCAAAUCAUCAUGCCCCUUAUGUCUUGGGCUUCACGCAUGCUACAAUGGCCGGUACAAAGGGCUGCAAUACCGCGAGGUGGAGCGAAUCCCAAAAAGCCGGUCCCAGUUCGGAUUGAGGUCUGCAACUCGACCUCAUGAAGUCGGAGUCGCUAGUAAUCGCAGAUCAGCAACGCUGCGGUGAAUACGUUCCCGGGUCUUGUACACACCGCCCGUCAAGUCAUGAAAGUCGGUAACACCUGAAGCCGGUGGCCUAACUCCUUGUGGAGGGAUGCCGUCGAAGGUGGGAUCG